RNAcentral lists this long non-coding RNA (6666 nucleotides) under Homo sapiens (human). RNAcentral describes it as "HSALNT0244598". The record is from RNAcentral. Lineage: Eukaryota; Metazoa; Chordata; Mammalia; Primates; Hominidae.
GGCUGUCAAGUCGGAGACUGAGUGCCUGAGCAGGCGUGGACCAUGAAGGAGAGGAAUCUAACACACCGAGGUUGGAGCUGGGCAGUCUGAGGAAGUCAGAGAUGGCAGGAAGAAAUGCUAAAAAAUCCCUGAAGGAAACACUUAAUUCAGGACGUUGGCUCCUUGAAUUGAAACUCAACCAUCUUUGAAAUCUCCAGACGUAAUCUCCAAGCAGUUCAGUCAAAACCACUAUCACCGUGCUGGAGGAUCUGAUGUCACCUCCAUCAUGGAGGAGAAACCUGAGCCUGACUGCGUUGGACUUUCUGAUCAGUUCACACAAGAGGCCCCAGUUCAAGGCUAACAAUAUCUGACAUGUAAAGUAAACACAGUUUGCAGCCUGUUUGUUGCAACAAGCAGGACUGCAAGCUGAGAAGAGUCCAUGCGCUGGGAUCAUGUGAGCACAGUUCUCCAUUAUGAUUAAUGAGGAAGUUGAAUUGCAGUGCCCCCACUCUGAGAACAGUGACUGUCAAAAGAAUUCAACACAAAAAGCUGUAAAACAGAACAUUAAAACAAGCACUGGGCUGAAAUGUACCUCCAGGGGCAGGGAAGGGGCGGGUGGCGAGGUGAGUUAAUUUGUUUUUAUUUGUAGGUCUCAUUCCAAAAGGCGAUGUUUGGUUUUGCCUCCUGAACUGGUGCUGGAGAAGAGACAUGGCCCAUGAAACAGCGGUGGACCUUACCAAGCAGAACUAGAAGAUAUCUGUCAGAGUUCCAGACAUUGGUUCAUUUCCUCAAGAGAUUCAAGAUUGAAUUACCUCUGGCCAUUUAUCUGUAUGAGUUCCUGUACCAGAAUGUGACUGGAAGACAAUGAAGCAGAAGGAAAAAUUUAACACCGGCACGGCACUGUCUUGGAGCUAAUCGUUUUUCACCAAACACACACAUGUAGCAGCAAAACAUCCUUAAAAUGUAAAACAUCUUGGUUUUUUAAUAACCCCUUGUGGUAUGUUUUUACUUUAGCAAUAAUUGUAUUUUCUUUUUUGCACAUUUUAUUUAACAACAUUGCAGUGCCAGAUAAUCGGUUCCAUGUGUUCAGGGCACUAGCAAAGUGCCUAACGGAGAAACAAUUAACUUUAUUGGGCUCCUGUUAUUGGCAGACACAGCCUUACACCCUUACUUGUUCAUGGUGCUCAGCCACAUAUGAGCUGCAAAGAAUUUGGUGUCCUAAGUAAUCAUGCAGCAACCUGAAUUUAGAGCCAAGUUAUCAUUAAAAAAAAAAAAUCAUGAUCAUGAACUAGAAACAGAAGUUAAAGUCCAUGACAAGAUCCGAAGAUAAAGUUCACUUCAGUAACAAAAAGUGCAAUGAUUAGUCCAGGGCCUGGAGCCAAUGGUUGAUGAGCAAACUUGGACUUUUGCUAAAGAAGAACAUGCAGUAUGAUUUGAAGCAAAUAUGAGCACUGUGACCGUAAUGCAAGCUUAGCUCUUUCAGUAAUAGGCACUGAAACAAUGGUUAAAUGCAGUUAAGUGCAAGGAGCAACACAGUUAGGUUUUAUCAAACAUUAACACUUGUACUGGAGAGUCCAUAAAAUUCUAAUUGGCCUCUUCUGCGGAAAGCAGCCCCAAGAGGUUCUUUAUGUACAAAGCAGCUCUGACUCAUGCCAUGAGUGCUGUGAGAAAAUAAACCCUGCUAGCGUAGCUGCCAUUGAUUUGUCCAGGGAAUGAUGCUCAAGCCACAGAAAGGAUAAAUAGGUCGGGCAUGUGGUAGCACAACUACCUCUGCAAUGGCACAGCCUAAAACUCGGCAUUGCGUUGGACAAAUGGACCUGAACAAAUUGUCUCUUAUGAAAAGCACCAUUUCCCUGAUUGCAAAGCAGGAAGCUUAUUUUGUAUGAGGAUUUGGAAGAGGUAGAGCCAGGGACCGGCCGACUUUCAAAGUCAGGAGUUGGUGGAUCUCAGCAGUGGAAAUGUGCUUAUUCAGAUCAGAGAAUAUACAGAGAAUGAGGGUAUCAAUUCCCACACAUCCCCGGAGACUCAAGCAGAAAUAUUGAGCAAUAAAGACAAAGAGAAUAAUUAGAGAAGCUGAAGAUCUCCAUGAAAAGGUUUUUGAUGUGGAUGCUGUAGAUCAGACAACAAAGAAAUCGAGAAAGAACAAAGAUUGCACUCCUGUCGCUGGCCUACAGACUCCAAAACCACCUCCCAACAUGUGGUCUUAUGGUGGCUCUGACUGGAGUGAAAAUUUUCCGUAGAAGACUGGUGUCUUGGACAUAAGUAAUUCAAAAAUAGGAGGCAGUGGAAAGGGUCACAUUGGUAAAUGCAAAGGCUGACUCAAUUUGGAACUUGGGUGGCAAGAACAUGAGACUCAAGGUGUAAGUAUAAAUGAACAGAUUUUGAAAAUAUGGAUAUAAAAGAAAAAAUAACACAAAAAAAUGAUCUUGGAGCUGGGACUGCACCAUUGCAAAAAUUUUAACUCGCCAAGAAAGCAGUGAUGUCUGAGAGAACAAGGAGUGAUAGCAAAUGCACAGUUCCAAGGGAACCAUCUGCAAGGAGCUUCCUCCCAACUGAGCAAGGUUACAGAUUGCAGAUUCUGGGCAACUGGUGUGAACUGAGAGGCACUCGGCUAAAGAUAAACCAAAGGCAUUCUUCUUUUGUUCAGAUAACAUGGGAUAUCUUCUCCAGCUUUUGGCAGUACCAAGUGCUAGGUUCUAGGAAUAUAAUGUUUCUCAGAGUAAGUCUGUUAUUUUCUAAAUAUCUUGGUGAUAAUUAUGUGGCUUUAUUUCUAUUGGACUCUAAAAAGAAAAUCAUGGGCACCAGAGUCUUGUUGUCAAACUAAUUUAACUUCCAAAGUCCUGAAGAAAAUUGAACCUAUUCCUGAGAAAACAGCCCAGGUUGCAUCUGCUGAAGGAAAACUAACUCUAUAUUGGCAUCACAUGCCCUUUAGUUAAGUCAGAGAAGAGUAAGAAGCAGGUUUGACAUUGUGGAAGACAGGGCGGUCAUUCCUCAAAGACCUAAACACAGAAAUACCAUUUGACCCAGCAAUCCCAAUACUGGGUAUACACCCAAAGGAAUAUAAGUCAUUCUUUUAUAAAGACACAAGCACAUGUAUGUUCAUUGUAGGACUAUUUACAAUAGCAAAGACAUAGAAUCUACCAAAAUGCCCAUGAAUGACAGACUGGAUAAAGAAAAUGUGGUACACAUACACCAUGGAAUACAAUGCAGCCACAAAAAGAAAUGAGAUCACAUCAUUUGCAGGGACAUGGACGGAGCUGGAGGCCAUUAUCCUUAGCAAACUAACACAGGAACAGAAAACCAAAUACCACAUAUUCUCACUUGUAAGUGGGAGCUAAAUGAUGAGAACAUGUAGACACAUAGAGAGUAACAAUACACACUAGGACCUAUCAGAGGGUGGAGGGUGAGAGGAGGGAGAGGAUCAGGAAAAAUAGUAAUGAGUACUAGGCUUAGUGUCUGGGUGAUGAAAUAAUCUGUAGAACAAACCCCCGUGACACAAUUUUACCUAUGCAACAAACCUGCACUUAUACACCUGAACUUAAAAUAAAAGUUGAAAAUAAAAAAGGCAGGGUGGGAUCCAUUUUAUUAUAUAUGUAUGUAAAUAAAUACAUAUAUAUACAUACACAUACAGUCAUGCAGUGCUUAAUGAUGGGGAUACAUUCUGAGAAAUGCAUCCUAAGGUGAUUUUGUUGUUGUGCGAACAUCAUGGAGUGUACUUACACAAACCUAGAUGGUAGAUGCUACUAUACACUUAGGUCGUAUGGUAUAGCCUAUUGCUCCUAGACUAUAAACCUGUAUAUGACUUCAAGGAAUAUUGUCAGUAAUUGUAACACAAUGGUAUUUAUGUAUCUAAAUAUAGAAAAGGUACAGUAAAAAUACUCGAUGAAAAAUGAAAUAUAGUACACCUGUAUAGCACACUGGUAUACCAUGAAUGGAGCUUACAGGACUGGAAGUUGCUUUGGGUGAGUCUGUGAGUGAGUGGUAGUGAAUGUGAAGGUCUAGGAGAUUACUGUAUACUACUUUAGACUUUAUAAACACUGUACACUUAGGAUACACUAAAUGUAUUUAAAAUAUUUUUCUUCAACAAUAAAUUAACCUUAGCUUACUGUAACUUUUUUACUUUAUAAACUUUCUCACGUUUUUUAACUUUUUGACUUUUUUUGUAAUAACGCUUAGUUUAAAACACUCAUUGUACAGCUGUACAAAAAAUAUUUCUUCUUUAUGUACUUAUUCUAUACACUUUCUUCUUUUUAUUUUAUUUUUUAAUUUUAAAACAUUUUUGUUAAAGACUAAAACACAAACACACACAGUAGCCUGAGACAACACACAGUCAUGGUCAUCAAUAUCACUGUUUUUCUUCUUCACCUCUUGUCCCGCUGUCUUCAGGGGCAAUAACAUGCAUGAACCUGUCAUCUUCUAUGAUAACAAUGCCUUCUUCUGGAAUCCCUCCUACAAGGACCUGCCUGAGGCUGUUUUACAGUUAACAUAUUUUUUGUAAGUAGGAGUAUACUUUAAAAUAACCAUAAAAAUAUAACACAGUAAAUACAUAAACCAGUAACAUAGUAAUUUAUUAUAACAGUCUAGUAUUAUGUACUAUACAUAGUUGCCUGUGCUAGACUUUUGUAAGACUGGCAGAGCAAUAGUUGUGUUUAUACCAGCAUCACCACAAACAUGUGACUAAUGCAUUGUGAUAUGACUACAAAGGCUAAGAAGUCAGCAGGCUAUAGCAAUUUUUCAGCUCCAUUAUAAUCUUAUGGGACUACUUUCAUACAUGUGGUCCAUCCUUGACUGAAACGUCAUUAUGUGGCACAUGACCAUAUACAUAUAUAUAUAUAUAAUCUUACAUUUGCAAAAUUAUCUGUAAUUUGCAAAUAAAAAAGAAUUCGAUGGGGGGUUCUUUUGGACUAUUAUAUAUAAGAAACAAACUUUAACAAGCAAAAGACUACUUGAAUUAACUUCUUUCUGGAAUCCCUAGUUGGGAGAAAUUUUAUUAUUGACUCAUGAGGUUUACAUUCAAACUUUUUGCAGUGCCCUAGUAGGCUACAUUGAAUAAUAUGGCUGGACAUAGUUCGAGGUUAAGAAAGAGAUCAGGGUAUGAAUUUUCAGCUUUGGGUAAAAUACCACCUUAGAGUCCAUUUAUUUAACAUUUUAUUGUGACUCAUUCCAGAGUCUUCUGGGAACAAAAUGUAAAACAGCCACUUGUAGGUCUAGGAGACAACCCAGUGGAGGUAUGGCUGGUAUUGGAAAAGUACAAGAACCUGGACACAAGGCUGUUGUAAAAAAAAAUGCUGCUCUCCUUCCCUGAGUGGGUAGCGGCUUAUUGACUGAUGAUGAGUGCAAUGUCUAGACACAAAGGGUUAAGACCUCAGAAACCUGGGGGAAAAUUAUGGGGGAAUAGUUCUUUCCAGCCCCUGAAGUUUCCCCCGAUAUAAACACUUCUGUCUUUUUCUAACCUUUAAUCACUAUUUUACCAGAAGUAAUAAGAUGAUUCAUCGAACUAGUAAAUUUGAGGACAAUAAUUUGGGUGUACUGACUUCAGCUCUUCCUUUUUUCUUUUAUUUACUUCUUCUUCUCCUCCUCUCCCAUCAAAAAGUCAGUAGGUGACGUACCUCCAUGCCCGAUGUGUAACCUUUGUGGUCUUUGCAUUUCAGGUCUGGUCUGGCAUGUGCAGGUGGUUAAGUGUCUCAGUCUCAUAUUUACUUGGUAGGUUUAUUUGGCUCAGACACUAAGCUACAUCAUCUCACUUAGUAGUUAUCAUGAAUCAAGGUGAAAAUUUUGACCCCAUCUGCUUCUUUUUUUCACACUUUCUCAACAUUUUUAGAACAUGGAUGGGAAAGAGGGAUGCUAUUUAUUAAGCCUGCUGAUUUCCUAGAAAACUGACAUGAAUCCCAUUUGGCAGAUGAAAAGAUUGAGUCUUUUGAGUGUGAACAAGUCAACCAAGUUCACGUCAUUAGCAAAGGAAAGGGGCCCAUAUUUGAAGCCACCUGUCUGGUUCUAUAACCUACCCUUAUAGCCAUCUUGCUGAUUUUUUGUUCUUUUCUUGUUCCUGGGUUGAACACAUACUUUAUUUCCUCAUUAAUGAAAUCAGAUUCUUUCUUUCAACGAAUUAAGUACUUAUUUGGUAACAAAACGAACUAGAAUGCGUAGAAGGUCUCAGAAUCCAUUGCUCUUCUAAGCUAAUGUUAACUCAAACAGAGAUUGAGAAAUGGAAAGAGGGAACAGGAAGAAAAGAGCAAAAGAAGAAACUUGGGAGCUGGAGAAGAGGACGUUUGGGAGGAUGGGGUUAUUGCAAAUGUCUAUUUAUGCUUCUAACUCCCUAUGGUGAGGAAAUGAUCAUGAAAAAUGACAACAAUUUCUCUUCAAGUAACUUGUGUGGUAAAAGUGGAAAAAAUAAGGGGCUUGGUUAAGUAUUAUGUAUGUUGUUAAUUACCACACACACACAAACACACACACACACAUAUACAUAUAUACACACACACACACACACACACACACACGCAUAAUUAUUUUUUAUACAGGGUCUCACACUGCCACCCAGACUGGAGUGCAGUGGCAUGAUCUCUGCUCACUUCGGCCUCCACUUCCUGGGUUCAAGUGAUUCUCAUGCCUCAGCCUCCUGAGUAGCUGGGACUACAGGCAUGCAUCAUCACGCCUGGAUAAUUUUUUGUAUUUUUUGGUACAGAUGGG